UACAGAGGUGCCAAGCGUUACGCGGAAUCACUGGGCUUAAAGCGCGUGUAGGCGGGUCGUUAAGUGUCCGCGUGAAAUCCCACGGCUCAACCGUGGAACUGCCGGGCAUACUGGCGAUCUUGAGGCAUUCAGGGGCGAGCGGAACAAAUGGUGGAGCGGUGAAAUGCGCAGAUAUCAGGAGGAACACCGAUGGCGAAGGCAGGUCCCUGGGCAUUAACUGACGCUGAGGAGCGAAAGCAUGGGGAGCGAACAGG
RNAcentral lists this ribosomal RNA (254 nucleotides) under uncultured bacterium. RNAcentral describes it as "partial 16S ribosomal RNA". It matches the Rfam family "Bacterial small subunit ribosomal RNA", at positions 524 to 776 of the family's 1533-position model. The record is from RNAcentral.